RNAcentral lists this transfer RNA (77 nucleotides) under Escherichia coli. RNAcentral describes it as "tRNA-Arg". It matches the Rfam family "tRNA". Rfam says of the family: Transfer RNA (tRNA) molecules are approximately 80 nucleotides in length. Their secondary structure includes four short double-helical elements and three loops (D, anti-codon, and T loops). Further hydrogen bonds mediate the characteristic L-shaped molecular structure. tRNAs have two regions of fundamental functional importance: the anti-codon, which is responsible for specific mRNA codon recognition, and the 3' end, to which the tRNAs corresponding amino acid is attached (by aminoacyl-tRNA synthetases). tRNAs cope with the degeneracy of the genetic code in two manners: having more than one tRNA (with a specific anti-codon) for a particular amino acid; and 'wobble' base-pairing, i.e. permitting non-standard base-pairing at the 3rd anti-codon position. The record is from RNAcentral. Lineage: Bacteria; Pseudomonadati; Pseudomonadota; Gammaproteobacteria; Enterobacterales; Enterobacteriaceae. RNAcentral also lists the same sequence under 1 other name.
GCGCUCUUAGCUCAGUUGGAUAGAGCAACGACCUUCUAAGUCGUGGGCCGCAGGUUCGAAUCCUGCAGGGCGCGCCA